This is a long non-coding RNA of Entelurus aequoreus (snake pipefish), 591 nucleotides long. RefSeq lists it as uncharacterized. NCBI's taxonomy places the organism in Eukaryota, Metazoa, Chordata, Actinopteri, Syngnathiformes, Syngnathidae. The transcript has 6 exons. The record is from RefSeq and is a predicted model, not a curated record.
AGGACCGCACAGCUUCCUGGUUCGCUGCGUCCAGCGUCAUCAAAUGGUCGUAAUGUGCAGCCUCAAAGAAGCCAAAAAAAAAGAAGAAGUGAGAACCACUCUUAAUGAGGUUAAGUCAAGUUUGAGUGUUGCUGUUGUGGUGUGAAUGAGGGAGGCCUGAGGAGGUCACGUUCAAGUCUCAGAGAAGCAGACAAGCGCUGCAGGGCUGCUUCAAGCAAGGCGGGACUGAGCCCCAGGCUGGAGGAAGUGCUCCACAGGGGGGACGAGGACAUGUGACGACCACCUCUGACACGUAACGCAGCUGGCCGUGUUCACAAAGCUCUGCCUGACAACUGGACCUCAAAUCUUCAUCUAGAACUCGCAGUCAGACAACCAGCCUCUCUUUUUAUCCUCACUCUUCCUUUUUUGCCGCUGUGCUGGUCGCGCCGAAUCGUUUGGACAAGCGCAGCAAUGGCAAGACAAACAAGGGAUGGGAGUGAGGUUCCUUGGGACACUUUGGACUGUGUCAUUGAUUUGCAGUCGAGCUCCACGCACUUCUUGUCCUUCACUCGGCGCUACAAUCAAUCAUGUCUGCUUGUGGCCACGCAGGGC